UGAUCUCAUUAGCAGCAAGAUUAGAAAGUCCUUCAGCACCUCUACCAGUGUGCUGAGCCCUGAAUGCUCAUCAUGUGGGAUGUCACACAGGUGCCUCCGUUCUGGUGGUGUGGGGAUGGCCUAAGGGCCCUGCAGAAGCCGGCGAGCUGAUCCACAAAAAGGCGCCUGAAGAUCAGCUGUUUUUUUCUGCACCGAAAAGAGGACCUGAAGUUUUGGCUUUGCAACUUGCUUCAGGAUAUGACCAUUUUUCAAACUUACAAAAAUGUUUGCAGACAGGUAACUCGGCACAGCUGUGCAACCCUUGACAACACGAGGCUCUCUCUGGUGUCUGCUAUCUCCCCAGAGCAUCGUGACAAACUGGUGAAAGGUCCUUCCAGGCUCUUUGCAACUGCCUCUCAAAGCCUCUUUUGCUCUGGUGAAGGCGUUUAUGUGGUGACCACAGCAGGAGCACGCAAACGGCUUCAUUUCACACCACCACACUGUAUUUCAGGGUACUUCAAUGUCUCCCUAUGACAUAUCCUCAGGAAAUGCUUUGUCUCUUGGUUGAAUCCUGAAACAGGUUGUGUCUGAUUGGCAGCCCAGCAGCAAAACUUCUUGUGACUCAUUUAAGGAUCACAGAAACAAAAGAAUCUCUUUACCUCACAGUAAAAGUACCUUACAGCCCCAUCUGGAGAACAUCCCCUGUCCCUGUGCCUGCAGGACCAUCCUGAAGUUCAACCCCAUGAGAUGUCAAAUGGCAGACACCUCUCUGACCUCCAGAGGGGACCCAGCACCAGCCUGGAUAGGAGGUUUUGGGAGAGAGGAGAGGUAAACAGAUGUGAGGGAGAAAGCGUGCAACCGAAAGGGAGAGAGGCUGUUGGAAGGUUUCGUCAUUCCCCUGUCUAGAAGAUAUUUCUCCAUUGACUCUAUUUAAAGUCAGCCCCAGGCUUGUGGGCUUACAGAGCUUUUAGCAGAUGAAAGAACUCACUCAUCAGGCAGAGUUUUCUUAUGUGCCUUUUUUUUUUUUUUUUUUUUUUUUUUCCUCCCCAGCUCUCACCGGUCUGUUUUAAAGCCAUUUCAGCAAUUGUUGAAAACUGUCAGAUGCCUUUGACAGAUCAAUACCUUACCGGGGAAUUUGCAUGACCUGUUCGCCAAUCAAAAUGCAAAUUGGGGAUACGUUUAAAGCACGAGCCCCCAAUUUGUCUUCCAAACGCUGCUGGAAAGUCAUGAAAGCAAUUUAGCUGUUCCUGGGACUGCACCUUGUCUCCAGGCUCACUUCUGGCGAUGCCGCUGUGCUAUUUUUAUUUUUUUUUUGCCAGGCGGGAAUGUGCGUGUGUGUAUGUGUGUGUGUGUAUGCAUGCUACAGGCGUUGUUUCCAAGUCGGGAAUAUAAAUCUUCCUCUCGGACUGAGUGAGAUUUAUAGCUCUGCCACGGGGCUCCCGGCACCUCUCAGCCCCACACCUCUGCUUGGGACUGGGGCAGGAGCAGGGAUGGGGCAUGGGAACGGGGACGGCUCCGGCUUCCCUGCUCCUGCCUCGCUUCUCUUUUUUCCAGAUGGCAUUAGGGUUUGGAGACAGAGCAGAGGCUUGUGCCAACAGCUCACACUGCGGCAAUAAUGAGAGCCAUUUAACGGAGGUUGAGUCAACAAAAACAUGCUUCCCUCUCAACAAAUAAAUGCUUUUAUUCCUCCUCCUUGUUUUUCGCGCUAGGAGCUUUGUUCUAAGUGAAAUUGCCGGAUCAACAUCGCAAGAGAUGAGAACAUUUGAUUUAGCUCUGAAAUAGGUACGGGUGGUGUCCUGGUGGCACAGGCUGUUGUGUUGGUCCCUGUUCCCGUCCCUCAAGCUGGGCAAGCAAACCUGCCUUGGAGCAUUCACACCUGAUCAGCAUUAUCCAUCCAUCCCAGUCUGAGAACCCGGUCUAAGCCUGCUUAUCUGGUUUUCUUUCUUUUUCUGGUAGUAAACAGGUUUUAUUUUUCCCACUCCUUUAAAACUUUCUGAAAGAGGAGGCCUACUUUGUUUGAAAAUAAUUGAUUUCCCCUGAAAAUAUCCCUCCCCCCAUAAUAACCUCACAGUUUUGAUUUAAAGCCACCUGCAAAGGUGGUGUGAGGGGUUUUGUCUUUAAUGAGAACUUGAGAUGCUCUAUGCAAGACAAAAAGCCUGACCAGCCCAUUCUUCAGAUGGAAACGACAUGAUUUCAUGCAGACUCAUGCAUGAAAAUUUACACAUAUUCCUUUAAAACUCAUUUGGAAACAAAAGGCUCUGUCAGCUCUAUCUACCCAUGGAGCUAUCUGUUGCUGACAGUCAUACUGAACCCACUGGCAUCUCAUUAUGAAUCACUUACCCCACAGGCCCAGACCUGGGAACUGCAGAUUCUGCUGUAUGGGACAUUUCCUGGCAUUACUCAAAGCAGGACAGUUAUUUUGGAAAUGGACUAAGUUCAUUCCAAAGGAAAUU
Molecule: non-coding RNA, 2432 nt
Organism: Anas platyrhynchos (mallard)
Lineage: Eukaryota; Metazoa; Chordata; Aves; Anseriformes; Anatidae
Source: RefSeq, a predicted model, not a curated record